This 2560-nucleotide long non-coding RNA is filed under the name Phoenix dactylifera (date palm). RNAcentral describes it as "long non-coding RNA (PDAC_LNC013005)". The record is from RNAcentral. Lineage: Eukaryota; Viridiplantae; Streptophyta; Magnoliopsida; Arecales; Arecaceae.
UUCUCACUUGAUUGGUUCAUGUAUGAAAUAAAAGAGGAUCAAUGGGGAAAGAGCUCGAAUGGAGACUGUUGACCAUGAACGGUUAUGGGCCCGUGGUAAGAUGUAACAUAGUACCAACUUUCUUUCUUGAGGAAAAAUGUAAUGACUUUGAGAACUUUAGCAAUGACACAUUUUAUUUCUAUAUGGGGACAGUUUAUAUUAGGGGUGCAGAUGGGUCGAGUUGGACUGGGUCCUGAGUGACCCCAAUCCAACCUAGUUUCUUGAUCGGGUCCUAAUUUUAGACCCAGACCCAACCUAAUAGAAGAUCGGAUCGGGUCAAAUCGGGUCCAUGGCUACAAUUUUUGACCGAUGGAGCAUUCAGGUCGGGUCGGGUGCAUGUACAACCGAGUUCUAACCUAAAAAAUUUGAGUCUAGUUCGGGUCCAAACCCAUUCAACCUUUCUUUCCUUUCUGGUCCCUAUUCCUCUACUCUCCCUCCGAUGCUUGGCCCCCUUCGACCCCUGCCGCCCUCCUCCUUCUCAAUCUUGCCACCGCCACCUACUUCCAACCACCGUCUCCCCCCCUCCGCCAUGGCUUUGUUAGAAGUAUGCCCUAGAAGCCAAUGUGGCUGACACAUAUUUGUAAUCUGGAGCAUAAAUUUUUAAUUUGACACUUAUUAAUAAAUAAGAUUGGGCAAUUUGUUUAUCAUUCAUGUUUGUAUGUGUCCAUGAAUCGUCCAAGAAAUUAAUAGAUGAUGACACAUAUUCUCAAGGAGUUGAGAAUUUGAGGCAUGUGUCAUUAGGUAUUAAUUUCUAAAUGCUCCUGACCGAUGGAUCUAUCACGAGGGACGAUGAUCGAUCCGCUGAGAUUGGUGCACAGAUUACUUAGUCAGAUGGACGAGUCUUGAGUCCACGGUGUAGAGGCACUGGAGUGAUUGUGCGAGUACUUGUUAGAGAACAAGGUACUGAGCGUGACCAAAAAAAGUAGUCACAUGGAUGUCUAUCCACUCGUCAGUGACUACUUAUGCUGCAGUUGUAUGACUGGUCAUUUGACUUGUGAUGCCUCGGCUAUUCACUGUGAGGUUGCUGUAGUUUGACGAGCACGCGGACUUGGGCCCUAGCCAUUCGGGUCCUUGUGGUGCGAAUUGGCUGCAGUAGGUUCAUUUUGGAAUAGGGUUGCAUCUAGAUGGGAUCUAUCGACCUUGAUAGAUUAGGAGUGAUCCUAUGUGAUUUAUGAGACUGAGUUCGAUAAAUUUCUGACCAGAUAUUUUGGAAAAAGAGUUUUCCAUAUCUCGAACUGGAAGUCCAAUAAAUUAGAUAUAUGACAGAUGAUGGAAUUUCACAAGUUAUCCAUAACCUCCGUCAUUUUGGGAUCCAUGAUAGAGGGACUGUAUCAUACGCUAACUGCACCUAGAGGUUCAGAUAUUCCAUUUUGCUGGGUUGCCACCAUAUACUACUAGGUGUCACUAGUGGAUUGUGAGACUCGAAGGAAUUCACUUGGUGAUCGGUGAACCCUGAGAGUAGAACUAAAAUUGUUUCAAUCCACUAAAAAGAGUUUCAGUGAUAUUGAGAGAGAGAUCUCAAUAUAUCUCACUACCAGAUAGAAUAGAACCUACGGGGUCAUACACAUAGAGGAUUUAAUUAGUCAGAUUAUCAUAAUUAUGAUUUAGAAUCAUAAUUAAAGUCAAUUAUCAAUAUGAUUGGUGAUUGAAUUAACCCACUAAGUGCUAGUGAGUUAAUGGAAUAAGAAUUAAGUGGAAUUAAUUGCAAUUGGAUUGCAAUUGGCGGAUUUAAUGAGCCAAAUCAAAUUGGGUUCGACCCAAAUUGAUUUGGAUUCAUGAUUGGGUCAAUUUGAUUAAACCAGAGUUUGUACGGAUUUUAAAAUCCACAUGUCGUUGUAGGAUGAAUAUGACUUAAGUCGUGUUCACACUAUGCGGACUUUAAAGUCCACAUGGCGUCGUAAGAUGCUUGCUCCCAAUUAAUUAUCCUAAUGUGAUUAGGAGUUAGCUUAAGUCCUAAUUUGAUUAGGAAUUAGGUGAAAGAAUAGAUGCCCUAUAAGCCAAUCGCAAUAUGUAUUGCGAAAGAUUUUUCUUUUGAUUUUCCAAAUCAUAUAUGUGAUAUUUAAUUAUAAAUAAAGGCAUUAUAUUUCUAAAUAUGUUAUUUCUUAUAUUUGUGAUGAACCCCUUAGAUUAGGGCAAUGGUUUUAGGGAUAUGAUGAGAUCAUACUGGUGAGACCUAAAAUCCUAAAAUCCUAAUCUUAAGUAUUCCCAGUCGUUGGUACAUUGAGUCGGAGAUCAAUGCUACCGGCAAGACUGGCACAUCUUAUGUAUGCUCGAUGCAGAGGGUGAUUGAUCUCACAAUCACUUGUGUGAGACAGUCAUACAAAGAUGUGGAUGCUCAUUACAGGAAUGAGUUUACUGAAUUGAUUUGCAAAGAGAAAUCUUAUGAAGUCUCACUUACAUGUCAAAAGAUGAUUCUCUUAGUGGGAGUUGUGCAACUGAUCCUUUGACCUGAGAUCACCAUGGUAUCUUGUGCACAUGAAUCCAUGUUUUGGUUUACAUUCAUUCAUGACAAUAAGUUGUG